This 332-nucleotide long non-coding RNA is filed under the name Phoenix dactylifera (date palm). RNAcentral's name for it is "long non-coding RNA (PDAC_LNC000516)". Lineage: Eukaryota; Viridiplantae; Streptophyta; Magnoliopsida; Arecales; Arecaceae. The record is from RNAcentral.
GGGCCCAUCUAGUAGCAAAAGUUCAUGGUGUUAAAUCUCCAGAUGUUGGUGUUUUUAUCCAGAAUGCAAUUAGAGUGCUUUAUGGUCAUGAGGAUAAACUGUAUGCAUAUUGAAUAAGCAAGGAAUCCAUGAUGGAUUAAGCUCGGGCUCAUCCUAAAUUCACAAAAGUCUAUUGCAAACUUAGCAAUCAAGAAAAAGAGUGUCCUAAAGGUCACUUCAGAGUUUUUUUUUCUGGCUAGUAUAUGAUGGCAUAUUUUUCAUGCUUGAGUUGAGUUAAGAUUAAUUUGUGGUUACACUUACAUCUUUAGAUUACUUGUGACUUCUCAUUCUUU